Molecule: long non-coding RNA, 2992 nt
Filed under: Bemisia tabaci
Lineage: Eukaryota; Metazoa; Arthropoda; Insecta; Hemiptera; Aleyrodidae
Description: lncRNA ENSSWEETPG010903
Source: RNAcentral
ACUUCAUUACUUUUACCCACUAUGUCCGCACAAUCAUUAAAGGAUUUACCCUCUGGGCCUGUAAAUUCGAGGGGUGUGCAAAUUGCAACGAUUUACAUGCGAGCUUUACAAACAACACUUAGGCUCAUGAGUGCCUGUGGAUUUCCUCUCUCAAGAAAGAAGGUUUAUCAACAUGCUUACUUUGAUGGGAAACUCUUUCAAGUAAAAUACCAUCAAAUCCAGAGUGAUCCAUCUGUUGCUUCUCUGUGCGAAAAUAAGGUGAAACAUACGAUCAUACAGUUCCUUUUUCGACAGAGAUCAUCCUCAGAUUAACUGACGCUUUUUUCUGCAGAUUAGAAUUCAAUAGCUGAUCUAUGGCUGAAUUUUAAUGGGACGGGCCUACUAGCAUUUUUCAGCAUAAGUCUGAAUAUAUCGGUGUAACAUGACAAGUUCAGUGAAAAUUAAGUUGUUUCGACCUCCAAAGGAAUAAAUAAACAACGGGCAAAGAGGGAGGGAGAAUACACAGCCCUGAAGAUUGAGGUCUCAAGUUGAAUUAUUACAUUGGUGUGGGGUUUAAAAAAUCAGAAAAUGUGAGUGACGAGGAUGUGCUAUCUUUGCCAGUUUUAAUUUGCUAGGAUACUGGUCAUAAAAAUUUUCUUUGAUCAGGUUUCCCCUUCACUUUACCUAUCAUUUGAUAGCAGCGAUGAAAGUUCCCAUAUAUGAGUACUAAUGAGAGAGUGUGUGUGUGUGUGUAUGUGUGUAUAUAUAUAUAUAUAUAUAUAUAUAUAUAUAUAUAUAUAUAUAUAUAUAUAUAUAUAUAUAUAUAUAUGAGGUCGCUCUACAACGCACUCUGGCGUUCUGCGACACCCAAACGAGAAAGUGAUUUGUUUAAAAAAAAAGAAAAAAAAGAAAAAAUCCUGUUUUGCAAAAUUAUUCCGAAAAUGCCGAUUUUGUUAAUAUAAAUAAUGCUGCUCUCUGAAGAGUGUUUUUAAGCAUGGCAUGCAUUUAUUAGUGAGUGCAUUUAUUGAUACAUUGAAGUUUUUGUUAAAAUGGUUUGAUUAAGAGUGUCUUAGUGUAAUUUUGGGCUGUUUUAAAAAUUAGGGCUGAUUUUCUUAGUGUAAGUUAAGGUUGAAAUAUUGUAAUGAAUCGUUAAUUAUUCAAUUCUUAUCUAAUUUCCAGCACUGAUUUAAAAAAUUAUGAUGAAAAAAACUAUGUCAUUGAAUUUUCGCGAAUUAAUUAUAAAACAUCUUUUUUCUUUUUCAUACUUAAUCAUAAAUUCAACUUAUAAUUUUAGCGUGUGAAUUACAUAAUGGAGAAGAAAAAGCUCUUUGAAUUUUUUUAAUCAGAUUAAUUGGCAAAAUCUUUUGAUACAACCCAAAUCUCAAUGAUUUAAAAAAAAACCUUGGAAAUCAACUCUUUUUGCUUUUCAAAUGACUCCAUCUGACCUCAUUGAUUUUCCAUUUUAAUUUGUUCUCUCUUUUUUUCAGACUUUACUUUUUGACGCCUAUAAAGCACUUCGAAGCAAUUUCUUCAAAGAAACCUAGAGAACUUGUUUGGGCACUUAUCAGAUAAGAGGAUGUAUGGUAUAUUCCAUUUUCCUACUAUUAUUUUUCAGGUUACAUUAAUUUUUUCAUUUUCUCCUCAUUUUCUUUAAUUUCCACAUACUGUAAUUAUAGAUACCUUCGUAACGGUUCGACAUACUUUCCAUCAAUAGCUCUAGUUGUUCAGAUCCUAGACAUUUGUGAAAACAGAUUGUGCUCCUUCAUUUUUUUUGUCUUCAAAAAAAUGUUUUUUUAAUCCAGUUCUAAAAGAAACUUUAUGAAAUUUUGAAUCCAUAGACACAAUAUAUGAAAAAGAAAACUAAACUGAAUUUUCAAAUAAUAGACUUUACAAAGCAAUGAUAGCCGAGAGCCUUGACACUGCGUUCUUGAAUAAAAUUACCUAUUAAUCAGCAAAAGAUUCACAUUCUAACAAAUUUUCUGUUAUUUAUAAGGAAAAAGACGUCUUUUUCUUUCUUUUUUCUUCUUCCGUUAAUGAUUUGUAAGUGUUGUAUUUCUUUAGUAACUUUUUAUGUUUGCCCAAGGAUAAUCAUUUUAUUACAAGUCAUUUUAGCCUUAAAACCAUUGAAUUUUAAAUGUUUGUAAAUUGUUCGACUUCCCUGAAACUGAGUGCUUUCAACAUUUUUAACAUUUUUUUACAGUAUUAUGUCACCAAUUCUCUUUGCUUACCAGUAACCUUGUCUUAGUUUACUGUCCCAUAAACACAUGCACUCCUGUGAAAGAUUGCCCUCAUAAUGUGUUGUCAUCUUCUGUGCAUAAUUUCUCAUUUCAUUUAAGUUCACUUCUUAUCCCAUAAGGUUCUUGCUGUGAUAAUGAUUUUUAAAUUCAACUAACUGAAUGAUUUGUUGAGAUUUUUUACUUCAAACAUAAGAUAAUUGCUAUUUUCAUAUUUUGCAGUUGUUUUUUUAUGCUUCCCUAGGUAUAAAUGCAAAAAAAAUGUAAUCCAUGAACUUGAAUGUAAGAUGUUUUUUUGAGAUUAAUAUUUGAGAUUUAAAGAGGCUAGGUAGUCCUAGCCGGGUGGGGUAUUACACAGUGUCAAAUAUACCACUUGCUGUUACACAAAGAACUAUCUGAAUACAUAAAAUGCUUACGCUUUUAUCCAUAAAUUUAGGGAAAUGUGCGUUAUCAUUUACCAAAUUCAUUGGAUAAGUUGCAAUUAAUAUCAUUUUCAAUUCGGAUUUCCCAACUUGAAUGGUUGAUGGGGAUGGAGAACGGAACAGUGCCAAGUUUUUCAUCAUGCAAAAGACAAAAAAGAGGGGGAGGGGUCAAAUGGUGCAAAAAUAAAAUGAAUUGAAGUUAUUUAAAGUCAAUUAAACCUUCACCUAAAAAAGGUGAGCGCUUUAAAUAAUGUAAGAACAUGUUAUAUACUUACGCAAACACUAAGCUGGUCUGAAGAGAAAAAGCUCCUUACCUGAAACAUACAAGAAUGGAAAAGUUCAAUUAACCACUGAGGA